This 445-nucleotide ribosomal RNA is filed under the name uncultured bacterium. Its description in RNAcentral is "partial 16S ribosomal RNA". It matches the Rfam family "Bacterial small subunit ribosomal RNA", at positions 354 to 796 of the family's 1533-position model. The record is from RNAcentral.
GUAGGGAAUAUUGGGCAAUGGAUGCAAGUCUGACCCAGCCAUCCCGCGUGCCGGAAGAAGGCCCUCAGGGUUGUAAACGGCUUUUGACGGUGAAGAAUCGACAGGAUGCGUCCUGUUUUGACGGUAGCCGUUGAAUAAGCACCGGCUAACUCCGUGCCAGCAGCCGCGGUAAUACGGAGGGUGCGAGCGUUGUCCGGAUUUAUUGGGUUUAAAGGGUGCGUAGAGUGGAAGGUCAGUCAGCGGUGAAAAGCUGUCGCUUAACGAUAGUCUUGCCGCAGAUACUUCCUUUCUUGGAUGAGGAGGAGGCCACUGGAACGGAUGGUGUAGCGGUGAAAUGCAUAGAUAGCAUCCAGAACACCGAUUGCGAAGGCAGGUGGCUGUACCUUAAUCGACGCUGAUGCACGAAAGCAUGGGGAGCAAACAGGAUUAGAAACCCUAGUAGUCC